AACGAACGCUGGCGGCGUGCCUAACACAUGCAAGUCGAGCGCGAAUAGGGGCAACCCUUAGUAGAGCGGCGCACGGGUGCGUAACACGUGGGUAAUCUGCCUGGAAGCUCGGGAUAACUAGCCGAAAGGUUAGCUAAUACCGGAUAAGCCCCCGGGGACUUCGGUCCUUGAGGGAAAAGAUGGCCUCUGUAUACAAGCUAUCACUACCAGAUGAGCCCGCGGCCCAUCAGCUAGUUGGCGGGGUAAUGGCCCACCAAGGCAACGACGGGUAGCUGGUCUGAGAGGACGAUCAGCCACACUGGAACUGAGACACGGUCCAGACUCCUACGGGAGGCAGCAGUGGGGAAUUUUGCGCAAUGGGCGAAAGCCUGACGCAGCAACGCCGCGUGUGUGAUGAAGGUCUUCGGAUUGUAAAGCACUUUCGACCGGGACGAAACUCCUUCACCUAAUACGUGGGGGCCUGACGGUACCGGGAGAAGAAGCACCGGCUAACUCUGUGCCAGCAGCCGCAGUAA
This 515-nucleotide ribosomal RNA is filed under the name uncultured bacterium. RNAcentral's name for it is "partial 16S ribosomal RNA". It matches the Rfam family "Bacterial small subunit ribosomal RNA", at positions 29 to 523 of the family's 1533-position model. The record is from RNAcentral.